Molecule: long non-coding RNA, 2011 nt
Organism: Cannabis sativa
Lineage: Eukaryota; Viridiplantae; Streptophyta; Magnoliopsida; Rosales; Cannabaceae
Exons: 5
Source: RefSeq, a predicted model, not a curated record
CUAUGAUGUGACAGUUUAUAGUUAGUUUUACUUUGUAGUGUUUAUAUCAUCUCUUCUCCACAAUGUUGCUUUUUUACAUUUAAGUACUUUUUAUACUCUUCAUAACAGUCAGGUAUUUUACAUCUCAUCUUUACAAAUAUUCACAUCAUAUGAGUUGGAUUGUCUACUUUGUGGGCGUAGAGAGAUGUGGGAGGUAAAUGCAUUUGAAAUCAGUAACUUCAUUACUAUCAUUUAUCAUCACUAUGCAAAUGUGCUAAUAGUGAAAGUUCAUAGUUCAUAGUUGCUUGAGAUUAUGGGAGAGUUCACACCCGAACAGCAGUGGGCCUUCUGCUAGUUUGUCACUGGUGCACCUAGGCUUCCACCGGGUGGUCUAUCAGUGGUAAAUCAAAAACUAACCAUUGUCAGAAAGGUAAUAUAUAUUACUAAAUUUAGUAUCUGGUAUAGAAAAGGAAAUUAUAUCUAUUUUGGGUGUUCAUAAAGAGAUGAAAAAAAUAAAUUAACUUAUGUAUGAUUAUUUGUUAUGUCAUUAAAAGUCAAAUUAUAUAGCAACUAAAAUAAAGCAAAGCAUGUACGUGCAUGGUUGAUCUUUCUUUGGAGCGGUCUUUUGAUACUGAUUUCACCGAGGCUCGACGACCAGCAGAGAUUUGAUGAUGAAGGGAGAGUGUGACUAUUGAAGGCCUAGCUUAUACAAUCUCAGCUGUAAUUCACCGAUACCAGCUCCGAAAAGGCAAGUAUGAACCUAGCCAGGUGUUAGAUUGAUCAAAGGUAUGAGAUGAGAUUCAACAUGAAAACUGGUCUAGCUACCCAAAAACAACUUUCAGCAUCAGCCCUAGAUUUUUCUAGAAUGAAUGAGAGCUACAUUGACAGGAAACAACGCUAUGUAUAUGGAACCAGACUGGACAGCAUUGCAAAAGUCACAAGAAUUGUCAAGUUUGAUCUCCAUGCUGAACCAGAAAGUGAUAAAAAAUGUCUAGAGGUUGGUGGAAAUAUUCAAGGACUCUAUGACUUGGGGCCGGGGCGAUUCGAUUCAGGGGCUAUAUUUGUCCCAAAGUUUCUUGGAGUUGAGUCUGAGGAAGAUGAUGGCUACUUAAUAUUCGUUGUUCAUGAUGAGAAUACCAAGAAAUAAUUUAGUUCAGAUAUUAAUUUUGUUCAUGCUAACAUAUAAUUCAAAGUUGUGCUCAUUUUGAAUGCUUCAUACUAAGGUGUGAUGAAUUUGAUUCAUGUUAUAUAUAGUUGGUCAUAUAUUUAUUUCUGUGUAUAUAUAUAAUAUUUUUUACAAUGUGAUACCUAUUAAGUUGCUAAAUUCAUUGAAAUAGGUUGCAAAUAUAUUACUUGCAAGCGUUAGCCGAGGUAGAGGUACAGGGGCAACCCAGGCAGCAACAGAAAUCACAAUAGCUCUUGCAAGAUCUCUUUGAUCUUGCUUUAGAGCAAAAUUGUAAUCAUAGCUCCCAAUGUAAGAAACUUUUUCCAAUAUUUUUAAUCGAAGCUCAACUUGGAAAGUAUUUAUGUGGGGCUUAUUCGAAAGAGAUUGAUUGCCUUGCAGAAUAAAUAUUACAUCGUGAUACCAUGUUAGCAGAGUGCAUAUGUAGAAAAUGCGUGAUACCAUGUUAGGGAGCUCAAUUGUAGAGAUUUUACUUUUAGUUCUCAAUUAUAUGGAUUCAAAUUUUGUAAUUUUUAAAUCGUGACUGGAUUUUUUUUUAGUUCUCAAUUGUACACAACACAUUGUAUUUACUUAUAUGUAAUGUAUAUAUUGGUGCAGACAGUAUUCUUACAUUGUACUUGACGAUGGUAUCGAGUUGCUAGAUGUUGUGAUGUUCGGAGAUGUUGUAGAAAACAUAUUCUCAUGUACUGUAGUUCAAUUAAAGUCAUAUUCGAACGAGAAACAUAGGUUGUUUGUCCAAAAAACUACGGAGAAAUUAUCGGCCAAAAAAUGAAGACUUCAGUUGUAUGUAGAUCCAAAACGAACGAUGAGUUCAAAGUGUCAAUACACCAUUCAAGCAGCUAAACCAAU